GAUGAACGCUGGCGGCGUGCCUAAUACAUGCCAGUCGAGCGAACGGACGAGAAGCUUGCUUCUCUGAUGUUAGCGGCGGACGGGUGAGUAACACGUGGAUAACCUACCUAUAAGACUGGGAUAACUUCGGGAAACCGGAGCUAAUACCGGAUAAUAUUUUGAACCGCAUGGUUCAAAAGUGAAAGACGGUCUUGCUGUCACUUAUAGAUGGAUCCGCGCUGCAUUAGCUAGUUGGUAAGGUAACGGCUUACCAAGGCAACGAUGCAUAGCCGACCUGAGAGGGUGAUCGGCCACACUGGAACUGAGACACGGUCCAGACUCCUACGGGAGGCAGCAGUAGGGAAUCUUCCGCAAUGGGCGAAAGCCUGACGGAGCAACGCCGCGUGAGUGAUGAAGGUCUUCGGAUCGUAAAACUCUGUUAUUAGGGAAGAACAUAUGUGUAAGUAACUGUGCACAUCUUGACGGUACCUAAUCAGAAAGCCACGGCUAACUGCGUG
This 497-nucleotide ribosomal RNA is filed under the name uncultured bacterium. RNAcentral's name for it is "partial 16S ribosomal RNA". It matches the Rfam family "Bacterial small subunit ribosomal RNA", at positions 28 to 507 of the family's 1533-position model. The record is from RNAcentral.